GUGAGGAAUUUUCCGCAAUGGGCGAAAGCCUGACGGAGCAAUGCCGCGUGAAGGAUGAAGGCCUAUGGGUUGUAAACUUCUUUUCUCAGAAAAGAAUUAUGACGGUAUCUGAGGAAUAAGCAUCGGCUAACUCUGUGCCAGCAGCCGCGGUAAGACAGAGGAUGCAAGCGUUAUCCGGAAUGAUUGGGCGUAAAGCGUCUGUAGGUUGUUUAAAAAGUAUUCUGUCAAAGAUUAGGGCUUAACCCUAGAUAGGCAGAAUAAACUUUUAAGCUAGAGUUUGGUAGAGUCAGAGGGAAUUCCCGGUGGAGCGGUGAAAUGCGUAGAUAUCGGGAGGAACACCAAAGGCGAAGGCACUCUGCUGGGCCAAUACUAACACUGAGAGACGAAAGCGAGGGGAGCAAAUGGGAUUAGAAACCCGUGUAGUCC
RNAcentral lists this ribosomal RNA (426 nucleotides) under uncultured bacterium. RNAcentral describes it as "bacterial SSU rRNA". It matches the Rfam family "Bacterial small subunit ribosomal RNA", at positions 354 to 796 of the family's 1533-position model. The record is from RNAcentral.